RNAcentral lists this non-coding RNA (31 nucleotides) under Mus musculus (house mouse). The record is from RNAcentral. Lineage: Eukaryota; Metazoa; Chordata; Mammalia; Rodentia; Muridae.
UGAGAAGAACCUGCAGACAUGUUCUCUGCUC